RNAcentral lists this ribosomal RNA (497 nucleotides) under uncultured bacterium. Its description in RNAcentral is "partial 16S ribosomal RNA". It matches the Rfam family "Bacterial small subunit ribosomal RNA", at positions 28 to 507 of the family's 1533-position model. The record is from RNAcentral.
GAUGAACGCUGGCGGCGUGCCUAAUACAUGCAAGUCGAGCGAACAGACGAGGAGCUUGCUCCUCUGACGUUAGCGGCGGACGGGUGAGUAACACGUGGAUAACCUACCUAUAAGACUGGGAUAACUUCGGGAAACCGGAGCUAAUACCGGAUAAUAUAUUGAACCGCAUGGUUCAAUAGUGAAAGACGGUUUUGCUGUCACUUAUAGAUGGAUCCGCGCCGCAUUAGCUAGUUGGUAAGGUAACGGCUUACCAAGGCAACGAUGCGUAGCCGACCUGAGAGGGGGAUCGGCCACACUGGAACUGAGACACGGUCCAGACUCCUACGGGAGGCAGCAGUAGGGAAUCUUCCGCAAAGGGCGGAAGCCUGACGGAGCAACGCCGCGUGAGUGAUGAAGGUCUUCGGAUCGUAAAACUCUGUUAUUAGGGAAGAACAAAUGUGUAAGUAACUAUGCACGUCUUGACGGUACCUAAUCAGAAAGCCACGGCUAACUACGUG